This 1022-nucleotide ribosomal RNA is filed under the name Salmonella enterica subsp. enterica serovar Enteritidis. Its description in RNAcentral is "partial 23S ribosomal RNA". It matches the Rfam family "Bacterial large subunit ribosomal RNA", at positions 161 to 1224 of the family's 2925-position model. Lineage: Bacteria; Pseudomonadati; Pseudomonadota; Gammaproteobacteria; Enterobacterales; Enterobacteriaceae. The record is from RNAcentral.
AAUCCAUAGGUUAAUGAGGCGAACCGGGGGAACUGAAACAUCUAAGUACCCCGAGGAAAAGAAAUCAACCGAGAUUCCCCCAGUAGCGGCGAGCGAACGGGGAGGAGCCCAGAGCCUGAAUCAGCAUGUGUGUUAGUGGAAGCGUCUGGAAAGGCGCGCGAUACAGGGUGACAGCCCCGUACACAAAAGCGCAUGUGCUGUGAGCUCGAUGAGUAGGGCGGGACACGUGGUAUCCUGUCUGAAUAUGGGGGGACCAUCCUCCAAGGCUAAAUACUCCUGACUGACCGAUAGUGAACCAGUACCGUGAGGGAAAGGCGAAAAGAACCCCGGCGAGGGGAGUGAAAAAGAACCUGAAACCGUGUACGUACAAGCAGUGGGAGCACCCUUUGGGUGUGACUGCGUACCUUUUGUAUAAUGGGUCAGCGACUUAUAUUCUGUAGCAAGGUUAACCGAAUAGGGGAGCCGGAGGGAAACCGAGUCUUAACCGGGCGUUAAGUUGCAGGGUAUAGACCCGAAACCCGGUGAUCUAGCCAUGGGCAGGUUGAAGGUUGGGUAACACUAACUGGAGGACCGAACCGACUAAUGUUGAAAAAUUAGCGGAUGACCUGUGGCUGGGGGUGAAAGGCCAAUCAAACCGGGAGAUAGCUGGUUCUCCCCGAAAGCUAUUUAGGUAGCGCCUCGUGAAUUCAUCUCCGGGGGUAGAGCACUGUUUCGGCUAGGGGGCCAUCCCGGCUUACCAACCCGAUGCAAACUGCGAAUACCGGAGAAUGUUAUCACGGGAGACACACGGCGGGUGCUAACGUCCGUCGUGAAGAGGGAAACAACCCAGACCGCCAGCUAAGGUCCCAAAGUCAUGGUUAAGUGGGAAACGAUGUGGGAAGGCCCAGACAGCCAGGAUGUUGGCUUAGAAGCAGCCAUCAUUUAAAGAAAGCGUAAUAGCUCACUGGUCGAGUCGGCCUGCGCGGAAGAUGUAACGGGGCUAAACCAUGCACCGAAGCUGCGGCAGCGACACUGUGUGUUGU